This 479-nucleotide ribosomal RNA is filed under the name uncultured bacterium. RNAcentral describes it as "partial 16S ribosomal RNA". It matches the Rfam family "Bacterial small subunit ribosomal RNA", at positions 28 to 523 of the family's 1533-position model. The record is from RNAcentral.
GACGAACGCUGGCGGCGUGCUUAACACAUGCAAGUCGAACGGUAAGGCCCCUUCGGGGGUACACGAGUGGCGAACGGGUGAGUAACACGUGGGUAAUCUGCCCUGCACUUCGGGAUAAGCCUGGGAAACCGGGUCUAAUACCGGAUAUGAACUCCUGCCGCAUGGUGGGGGUUGGAAAGUUUUUCGGUGCAGGAUGAGCCCGCGGCCUAUCAGCUUGUUGGUGGGGUAAUGGCCUACCAAGGCGACGACGGGUAGCCGGCCUGAGAGGGUGAUCGGCCACACUGGGACUGAGACACGGCCCAGACUCCUACGGGAGGCAGCAGUGGGGAAUAUUGCACAAUGGGCGAAAGCCUGAUGCAGCGACGCCGCGUGGGGGAUGACGGUCUUCGGAUUGUAAACCCCUUUCAGUAGGGGCGAAGCGCAAGUGACGGUACCUGCAGAAGAAGCACCGGCUAACUACGUGCCAGCCGCCGCAGUAA